CCCCUAGAUGUUCUGGGCCGCACGCGCGCUACACUGACUACUUCAACGAGUUGUUUCCUUGAUCGAAAGGUCUGGGUAAUCUUUGAAAGGUAGUCGUGAUGGGGAUAGAUCCUUGCAAUUUUUGAUCUUCAACGAGGAAUUCCUAGUAAACGCAAGUCAUCAGCUUGCAUUGAUUACGUCCCUGCCCUUUGUACACACCGCCCGUCGCACCUACCGAUUGAAUGGUCCGGUGAAUCUUUAGGACUGUGGCUGAGGCCUUGCCUUGUGCGGGUCUGGCCGUGGGAAUUUAGUUAAACCUUACCAUUUAGAGGAAGGUGAAGUCGUANCA
RNAcentral lists this ribosomal RNA (328 nucleotides) under uncultured eukaryote. Its description in RNAcentral is "partial 18S ribosomal RNA". It matches the Rfam family "Eukaryotic small subunit ribosomal RNA", at positions 1470 to 1796 of the family's 1831-position model. The record is from RNAcentral.